RNAcentral lists this long non-coding RNA (677 nucleotides) under Linum usitatissimum (flax). RNAcentral's name for it is "long non-coding RNA (LUSI_LNC006504)". Lineage: Eukaryota; Viridiplantae; Streptophyta; Magnoliopsida; Malpighiales; Linaceae. The record is from RNAcentral.
CUUGAUGUACGAUUCGAUUGGGGUAGGACAAAGGUAGAGCUGAAAACAAGCCUGGACAUUGACAGUGAUAGCUGAUCAGGAGUUUGUUACUGGCCAAGGCAGGAUCCACCCUACACGUUCACCAACACAACCACAUCAACAAAAACAGUAGAUGGCAGGCAGACACAGUAUAAUGUUCAAGAAGGUCAAUUUAACAGUUCACCCAAAUGUUCACAAUCAGGGAAAAACACUUUGCGAAUCAGCAGAAGUAAAAUUUGCAAAAACACUGUAAAAGUAGAGCAGCUACAUAAAACAGUACAGAGGAUAUCAAAUUAACGUCUGAAUUCUUUGUAGACCCAGUUAUUCAAUCCUGCCAUUAAAAAUAAUCAAGCAACACAGUUUGAAUCGCAGGUUGGUUGCACAAAGAGAGAGUUCAUGAACCACAGAACCGGCACAGCGUUAAGAUGAAGCACAAACUCAAACCUCGAACAGGGAGAGUAAAAACAGGUGCUUGAUCAAUCUGAGAAUAGGUAAUUAAUCAUACAACAACUCGUAAUUGCAUAUGGGGGAGUAAGAACACAGUCGCAAUUCCUGGAGUUCGGAGUGCUUGAAAUUUGGAAAUUGGGAACAAAAAUGGGAACCCUACUAGAAUGAUAAAAUUGCAUAAACAGUCACUUCAAUUUCCAUAUGUGAUAAAA